RNAcentral lists this long non-coding RNA (1121 nucleotides) under Fukomys damarensis (Damara mole-rat). RNAcentral's name for it is "lncRNA (ENSFDAG00000027003.1)". The record is from RNAcentral. Lineage: Eukaryota; Metazoa; Chordata; Mammalia; Rodentia; Bathyergidae.
AUGAUUCUGGUUGCAAACCAAGUUGGAUGAGAAAUCAAAUUCAAUAGUUAGGUUCAAUGUUGACCUUGUGGGAAAAUUUGAUUCGGCUCUCAUCCAGUUUGGUUCGUGAGCAGAAUUAGGGAGAUAAUUUAGUUUGUGAACAAAGGUAGCACUUACACCAUAUUGAAUCCAUAGCAUUUGUGCGAGAUUCAAGGCAGGGAAGCUCAUAUGUUCCCCUUGUGACAUCACCAUCAUUCUGUCCCUCUGUACCCCUUGUGACUCCUAAUCAACUCACAGACACCUCAGAGGGCCAUCCAUGCCCCCACCGGUAAGCACCAUCUGUCAUGUCCAUGCUACAAGUUUCGACCCAUUUGGUCUCAUCUGGGAAGCCCCUGAUUAAAUUCUCUCUGAAGCAUUGGAGCUGCAGAUUUUAAGGUCCUAAUUCUUUUCUGCUUCUUAAACUGAGCCAGAAUUGUCAAGUGAGAACCAAUGAUAUGUGGGUGGCCAUCCCAUUAGCUCUUUGACAGAGACAAGGACAGCUGGGCUGCAAAGGGAGAAAAUGAUGCAAACAGAGAGAAAGUGUGAUAAGACAUCAAGUGACUGCCUGGGCUCCAAAGGCUUAUCAGCGUCUGCUCCUGGUGCUUGAGAGUCCUGGCUGUUCUUCCGGCCCUCAGCUACUGUUUAUUUCAAUGAUAAACUCCUCUUUGUUUUUUGUUUCAGUUUUUUUGUAGGUCAUGAUAAUUGUACCAAAAACAAAAACAAGUUUGAAAUAGCUACACUGACCAAGAUCAUCUGUGGGCAUCAGUGGGCAAUUCCAGAAUGUGGGAGAAUGCAGUGGGUCAAAGAGGAAUUGGGUUCAUCGCAGAAGAUGCCCGCAAGGGAGGGUUGCUCCCUUCAGAAACUUCAAGGAAGGAUACCACAGAUUGCCUGAAUAAUGGAACACAGGGGAUGAGGAAUUCCUCAUUUGCAAUCUGAAAUUUCAUCUCUGAAAUUUGUGACUAGAAUUCAGCUGAGCUCAACUCUGCCUGCGAAUGCAGAUGAAGAAUUCAAUCCUUCACUUAUUCAUUCAUCCAUCCCUUCACUUAAUAAAGUGUUUAUAAGGCAGUAUUACACCGAGAAUUCUAGGACUGAAUUUCCUUGAC